This 2944-nucleotide ribosomal RNA is filed under the name Triticum aestivum (bread wheat). RNAcentral's name for it is "partial small subunit ribosomal RNA". The record is from RNAcentral. Lineage: Eukaryota; Viridiplantae; Streptophyta; Magnoliopsida; Poales; Poaceae.
CGAAAAGGUGCCGAGCGAGCGAGCGAGCGAGCGGCCUGGGGUAGGUUGCAACGCUUCGUCUGCCUUUUUUUUUCCUCUUCUCUCUCUCUCUCUCGAGCGGGCGAGCUCCUGCGGGCAAGGAGAAGGAGGCGUUCUUUAUCCGCGUUUGUGUUGUUGUGUCACCUCGGUUGCCUUAGGGGUUUAGCUAGAGAGCAGAGGCCCGGCUCUUGGGGGUUAAGCGUCAGGGGUCGGGGGUAAGGCCAGCGGGACUAGGAGGGGGCGUCCGCUAAGCAGCCUCAAACGGCGGGGAGCGCCGGGGCGGCCCAAGACACUAAGGCGGAGCCCGCGGAGCCCCUAGAGAGGCAACGAGCGGCUGGUCGGUACCGCGGCCGAAGCCGAGGCCGAGGCCGCAACCUGCAGCUCCCGCCCCAGCCGCCGCCGUUGUCGGUCUUGCGCGACUUCAGGCUUCGGCUGCACCUCGCAAGGCAGCGAGGCCCUCCGCCAAGACGCGGGCCACUUAAGGCGCGUCUACUGGGCCGGUGUCGCCAAACACUCCUGCCAUAGUUGAGGAGUCUAUUGGGUCGGGACCGACACCUACAGUUGCCGUUCCCGCUGCCCCCGUUCCUCUUAGACCCGUUCCACGCCCACUUUAGGCUCGGGCUCGUGACGCUCCCACUUCCGCGGCAAGAACGGGGAACGUGGUCCGGGCGCCCACGGCUAAAACACCCCUAUCGAAGGAGGAGGAUAUUUGACGGGCACCGCUCAGGGCUCCUGAGCUGGCUGCUCGCUCCUCCCCUAUCGUGUCUCACGAGCUCGAGCAAGCGUCUGAGGACAACACUCUGACCACUACUCCGUCCGUUACCACUGGGCCUUCACUUAAGAGGGAAAAGUCGAGUACGAUUACCGCCAGUUCGAAGGCGCUACGGGUCUUUCUUUUUCCAUUGACGGCUCACCUCCUUACGGCAGGCGGGUUACGACACCUCUACACUCACCAAUCUCGACGCGUACUUCCUAGAAAAUAGAGUUCAUAGUUUCAUACUGUCGGUCGAACGAGAGUAGCUCGUCCUUUUUCUUAACGUCUCUCGUUGUUCGUUCUGUUUACCAACAUCCGUUCUUAGACCCUUCUUGACGUCUCUGGUACUUUUAUAAUCGUACCUCUCCUCUUUCGCGUUUUCUGUACUUCUGUGACACCUGUGUAGUAACAUGGAGUUCUUCGUGUUCUAUAAUAGUAUGAAGAAACUAUUUGUUUUGUUCCCUCGACUGCGUCUACCGGAGAAUUAACUACUACUAUCAGUACCAGUUCAACCCCUACUAUGAUCUACGGCGGAACUUUAACAACCAAACGGACGCAGGUUCCUUAUACUAUACCAAAGGUUGGUUAAACACAAUGUUUUUCAAGAGUACGUUUAACCACCAUAGGUCAGAGCUCAAGUAGCAGAUGUUCUCGCAGAGUCGUUCCGAGCGACAUUUGUUCGUUUCAACCGUAGAAAGUACCUAGUACUGGUCCAGUUCCACCGACUCUUCUCCGUUUCCUAUGUUUUUGCGCGUAAGAGAGGACUCUUACUAGCUAUACGAUUCGGUGUCUUUUUCUUCUUCGAUUUGUAAAACGACCUCGUCCUCCUACCUGGUUGAGACAGUCAUUUUGGGUGUAACAGACUCUCCCCUUGACUAACAGAUUAUCUUCUAGGUGUCCCAUUAUCACUUCUUUUUCGAGAUCUCUCCUCGGUCCGUGUAUUCUUUCUGUAGUGUCACCUGGAUGAAGAUCGACAACUUUCAAGGAAUGGUUUACCAGUAAACCCUCUAAACACGUUUCUUUUGUGACUACUAUAGGAGUAUCUGUUGGUUCCCCGGUUUCUACCCAUAGUCGGCGAACUCUUGCGGUUCGUAGGUGGACUCCUUGGUGGACACGAAUAACUCUUACAACGAUUUUGACGAGGUAGCUUUCAACCCUUAUGGAGACUUGGUCACCUUCGGCUCUUUUCAAGCCAGGGUGACCAAUUCGUUCUUCAUUGAUAACCUUUUGACGGUCAAAACUUCGUACAGAUGAGACCUUUCUUUGCACCUUCCUGUGGGUUCUGUCUUCUAUACCCGAGACUUCGACGUAGGUUCUUGGUGUUAUUUCUCCGGAGACUUUGUGGAAGACGUUUCGUCUUUCGACUCUGUUGUGGGACGCGACUUUUGCUCUUGCGACCGAGUUUCUACGUCCUUUAGCACCUGUAAGCCAGAGGAAGUUUCUUCAGCUUGAGACCCUUAAGAACAAGUCGACGUCUCUUCGACUUUUAACCUUUGAGUAGGAGUCGACGUUUCCGCGUCUUUAGACCUUUGAGAAGGAGUCGGCGUUUCCGAGGGUUUUGUCCUUUGAGUAGGAGUCUACCUUUAUUCGUCCGUCGACCUUUGAGUAGUAGUCGACGUUUCUUCGGUUUUUACCCCUUGAGUAGGAGCCUACCUUUCUUCGUCCGUCGACCUUUGAGUAAGUGUCGACGCUUCGGCUUUUGUCCUUUCAGUAGGGGUCUACCUUUCUUCGUCCGUCGACCUUUGAGCAGGCGUGGACGUUCCUGCCUUUACUCACUUUUGUAGGUGUGGUUAGAAUCCUAACUCUUCCGAUAGAACCACCUCCACUUGUCGUCCUCCUCAGUUUCCCAUGCCUUCGGAUUCCAAAUGACUUCGUUUUGGUCUGACGAGUUUAAGUCCCGUCACAUUAAUACUCUUUGUCCAGAACAAAUAGUUAGAUAGGUAAAGCAGAACGACUUCAAGCAUCGAUAUAACUGUCGCCGAAGAGCGUUUCAUUAAAUCACAUCUAUAAGGAUUGGAAAAGCAAACCCAGUGGUUUGAUUUUUAUACGAAGAAUACAUAUCAACAAGAAACGACUCGAACACUACGUUUAUACGAACGUGAACCACAGAGAGAUGACGCAACAAACAAGUCAAAACUGUGAAGGUCAACAUAAGAGGAUCGUAAACAAAGG